RNAcentral lists this ribosomal RNA (415 nucleotides) under uncultured prokaryote. RNAcentral's name for it is "bacterial SSU rRNA". It matches the Rfam family "Bacterial small subunit ribosomal RNA", at positions 505 to 918 of the family's 1533-position model. The record is from RNAcentral.
GUGCCAGCCGCCGCGGUAAUACGAAGGGGGCAAGCGUUGUUCGGAUUUACUGGGCGUAAAGGGCGUGCAGGCGGACCCAUAAGUCGACUGUGAAAUCUGCUGGCUCAACCAGCAGCGUGCAGUCGAAACUAUUGGUCUUGAGUACAGAAGAGGAGAGCGGAAUCUCAGGUGUAGCGGUGAAAUGCGUAGAUAUCUGAGAGAACACCGGUGGCGAAGGCGGCUCUCUGGUCUGAUACUGACGCUGAGACGCGAAAGCUAGGGGAGCGAACAGGAUUAGAUACCCUGGUAGUCCUAGCUGUAAACGAUGGGUACUAGGUGUAGGAGGUAUUGACCCCUUCUGUGCCGCAGCUAACGCAUUAAGUACCCCGCCUGGGGAGUACGGUCGCAAGGCUGAAACUUAAAUGAAUUGGCGGGG